This 1453-nucleotide long non-coding RNA is filed under the name Vitis vinifera (wine grape). RNAcentral describes it as "long non-coding RNA (VVIN_LNC005623)". Lineage: Eukaryota; Viridiplantae; Streptophyta; Magnoliopsida; Vitales; Vitaceae. The record is from RNAcentral.
AGGCUCUAGAGUUCAUUGAUGAAACUGGUAUAGAUGCUUUGGCAGUUUGUAUCGGAAAUGUCCAUGGAAAAUACCCUGCAACUGGCCCAAAUCUCAGACUUGAUUUACUUAAGGUUAAGUAUAAGUAGUCAUAAUUGUACAUUUUGCAUUAUGGUUGAGAUUACUGCUAAUUGAUCUCUUUCCAACAAUGUUCACCUUGUUACUCAUGGGCACCACUUGGUUUAGAGUAUUUUUAUUCAGGAUUCUGUUACUCUAUGACACCGGAUUUACUUCAUCCUCAAGUAUAAGCAUGUUAUAGGCUGUUAGUAUAUGCUAUUUUCUUUAGGUGUUAAAUUAUUCGGUGACAAAAUAGUCUCAUAUUGCAUCCUGCAUACCUGUUACCCAACUCAAAUCUUUAGCAUCACUUCUCAAAGUUGAGUGAAAUAAUCACCGAGUCCCAGAUCAAUUUGAAAUUUUCAACCCAUCUGCCUACUUCACGAAAACAUGCAUAACCUGUUAAAUUCUUUGGUUCAACUUAUUCUACUUGUAUAUCCUAGAAAUCAUCGUGAUUUUCAGAGUGUUUCUGUGGCCAUGUUUGUCCCUUAUAUGUGAUUUUCUUCUUCCAGAGGUCCCUUAAAGGCAUUUCUAUUGUUUGAACUAUUGUUAAACCAGUCAUACACAUCAAGCCAACACCACAACUGCCUAAUCUGAAACUAAUCAUUUUUUUUUCUGGUGUGCCCUUAGACCCAGUCCCUUUUUAGACUGCCCGGAAGGGUUGAAUAAAAACAGCACUUGUUGAAAGGGUUUCUGUUCUCUGAAUUCCAUCAAUCCAGAAGUUCAAAUCAUUCCCAGUCAAAUUCCUCUCUUCAGAAUGUUCUCUCAAAAUCAUUGAACAAAUAGACCGAAAAGGACUGAAACUCAUAUUUUUCUUUGACAUUCAGUAAUGGAAAGCAUGCAACAUUUCUGUUCUUCAGGAAAGAAACCCGUCUUUCUUUUGAAAUUUAUGUUACAUGAGCUCCAGUAGCAUUCUUAUCAUCCGAGUUUCUGGCUUCCAACCUUUUGCUCUACGUCCAGGAACUGCACAAUUUGUGCUCAAAGAAAGGAGUUCUUCUAGUUCUUCAUGGAGCUUCUGGGUUGUCAGAGAAACUCAUCAAGGUACGUUAAGCAUAAACCAACUUCGGUUAUCAGAUCUGUGGCUACCAUCAUUGACAUCGAACUGCUUACUGCUUGGAACAGGAAUGCAUAGAACGAGGCGUGACAAAGUUCAAUGUGAACACAGAGGUGCGAAAGGCUUACAUGGAGUCACUGAGCAGCCCUGGGAAAGACUUAGUACAUGUUAUGUCAAAUGCAAAGGAAGCCAUGAAAGCUGUGGUUGCAGAGAAGAUGCAUCUGUUUGGUUCAGCUGGGAAAGCAUGACAAAAUUUUUGCAUUUCCCCCAAUAAUGAAAAUGAAACAUUUGAGUCAAUUUAUAAAU